This 233-nucleotide ribosomal RNA is filed under the name uncultured Actinomycetales bacterium. RNAcentral describes it as "partial 16S ribosomal RNA". It matches the Rfam family "Bacterial small subunit ribosomal RNA", at positions 97 to 334 of the family's 1533-position model. Lineage: Bacteria; Bacillati; Actinomycetota; Actinomycetes; Actinomycetales. The record is from RNAcentral.
GGCGAACGGGUGAGUAACACGUGGGUGAUCUGCCCUGCACUCUGGGAUAAGCCUGGGAAACUGGGUCUAAUACCGGAUAGGACCAUGCUUUAGUGUGUGUGGUGGAAAGUUUUUCGGUGUAGGAUGAGCCCGCGGCCUAUCAGCUUGUUGGUGGGGUAAUGGCCUACCAAGGCGGCGACGGGUAGCCGGCCUGAGAGGGUGUACGGCCACAUUGGGACUGAGAUACGGCCCAG